CCGUUUCGAUUUGCUGCGGGCAAAUAAAAUGAAUAUGCGUAUCGAUUCCACCCGCAGUAAUAAGCUUCCCUUCUCCGGCAAUGACCUCUGUGGAAGCGCCUACGAUGAGCUCAGGAUGAACGCCCUCCAUCGUAUCUGGGUUGCCCGCCUUACCAAUAGCGAUGAUUUUCCCAUCCUUAAUGCCAAUAUCACCCUUCACAAUACCGACGUAAUCAAUAAUGACGGCAUUGGUAAUGACCGUAUCGAGCACAUUCUCAUCCCGAGUACGAAAGGCUGACUGCCCCAUGCCAUCCCGCAG
This 298-nucleotide small RNA is filed under the name Paenibacillus sp. Leaf72. RNAcentral's name for it is "5' ureB small RNA". It matches the Rfam family "5' ureB small RNA". The record is from Rfam by way of RNAcentral. Lineage: Bacteria; Bacillati; Bacillota; Bacilli; Caryophanales; Paenibacillaceae.